RNAcentral lists this ribosomal RNA (623 nucleotides) under uncultured Gammaproteobacteria bacterium. Its description in RNAcentral is "bacterial SSU rRNA". It matches the Rfam family "Bacterial small subunit ribosomal RNA", at positions 41 to 658 of the family's 1533-position model. The record is from RNAcentral. Lineage: Bacteria; Pseudomonadati; Pseudomonadota; Gammaproteobacteria.
GGCAGGCCUAACACAUGCAAGUCGAGCGGUAGAGAGUAGACUUGCUACUCUUGAGAGCGGCGGACGGGUGAGUAACGCGUAGGAAUCUACCAAUUUGUGGGGGAUAGCCAGGGGAAACCCUGAUUAAUACCGCAUACGCCCUAUGGGGGAAAGCGGGGGAUCUUCGGACCUCGUGCAGAUUGAUGAGCCUGCGUAAGAUUAGCUAGUUGGUGAGGUAAGGGCUCACCAAGGCGACGAUCUUUAGCUGGUCUGAGAGGAUGAUCAGCCACACUGGGACUGAGACACGGCCCAGACUCCUACGGGAGGCAGCAGUGGGGAAUAUUGGACAAUGGGGGCAACCCUGAUCCAGCCAUGCCGCGUGUGUGAAGAAGGCCUUCGGGUUGUAAAGCACUUUCAGAUGUGAGGAAAGGUUUGUAUUUAAUAGAUGCAAACUGUGACGUUAACAUCAGAAGAAGGACCGGCUAACUCCGUGCCAGCAGCCGCGGUAAUACGGAGGGUCCGAGCGUUAAUCGGAAUUACUGGGCGUAAAGCGCGCGUAGGUGGAUAAGUCAGUCAGAUGUGAAAGCCCUGGGCUCAACCUAGGAAUUGCAUCUGAUACUGCUUACCUAGAGUACGAUAGAGGG